RNAcentral lists this ribosomal RNA (601 nucleotides) under Metriorrhynchus sp. A00311. RNAcentral's name for it is "partial 16S ribosomal RNA". It matches the Rfam family "Bacterial large subunit ribosomal RNA", at positions 1816 to 2713 of the family's 2925-position model. The record is from RNAcentral. Lineage: Eukaryota; Metazoa; Arthropoda; Insecta; Coleoptera; Lycidae. RNAcentral also lists the same sequence under 1 other name.
CAUGUCCUUUUGAUAAUAAUUUAAGGUCUGAUCUGCUCAAUGAUAAUUAAAUUGCCGCAGUAUUUUGACUGUGCAAAGGUAGCAUAAUAAUUAGUUUCUUAAUUAGAAACUGGAAUGAAUGAUUGGACAAGAAAAUUUCUGUCUCUUUUUUAAUUUUUUUGAAUUUUAUUUUUAAGUGAAAAAGCUUAAAUAUUUAUAAAAGACGAGAAGACCCUAUAGAGUUUGAUAUUUUUGCAUAAUUUAAUAUUAGAAUUAUUUUUUGGGCAGAUUUAUUUAGUUGGGGUGAUUUGAAGAUUAAAAAAAUUCUUUAAAAGUUAAAUUGAUGAUUCUUAAAUUUUAAAUCUAUAGUUUAUAAAACUAAAAUUAAUUACCUUAGGGAUAACAGCGUAAUUUUUCUUAAAAGUUCAUAUUAAAAGGAAAGUUUGCGACCUCGAUGUUGGAUUAAAAUAAAUUUUUGGUGCAAUAACUUAAAAAUUAGGUCUGUUCGACCUUUAAAAUUUUACAUGAUCUGAGUUUAAACCGGUGUAAACCAGGUUGGAUUCUAUCUUUAGAAAGUUAAUAUAUUUUAGUACGAAAGGACCAAAUAUGUAUUAAAUUAAUU